Molecule: long non-coding RNA, 3060 nt
Organism: Oryctolagus cuniculus (rabbit)
Lineage: Eukaryota; Metazoa; Chordata; Mammalia; Lagomorpha; Leporidae
Source: Ensembl
AUGCCAGCCACAAAGGCGGCCCCGGGCUGUCCCCCCCGAGCUGUGCUGGUCCUCUUGCCCACUGCCAGCGGCAGGACCCUGCUGAGUUCCGUCUGUGGCACUUCGUGCAGCUUGGUUUCCAGGCCGCCGGCGGCAGCCGUGUGUUGCCGAGAGAACGCGGUGGCUGCCGGAGACUGGGACAGAGCCAGCGGCUGCACCGUGCGGUGCCCGAUCACCCCGGCCGGCUCGGGGUGCACUGGGCCCAGGCAAGGCUCUCUGAGGCCAGGAACACGGCAGCUCCAGGACUUCGCUUGGUGGUUUGGUAGCAGAGAACGGCGGAUUCGCCACCACUUUCAGGUCAACCCACGUUUGUUGCUUGCUGAGACUGAACACCUGUUCCUGACCUUACCAAGCUUGGAGCUGAGCCAGGCAGACCACGGAAACCUCACUUCGCUGGAGACCUUGUCCCUCACUUCCUCACAGUUCAGAAAGGAAUGGAUCCGUGGGAGAUGUCCUGGGCAGUGCCAGCAACCCGUCUUGGAUAUAUUUGCCGUUAAACCCAGGACAAAAGAAGGCGCACGUGCUGGCCUGAGGCUUGGGAGCCCACCCACUGCCCCACAGAGGGCCACUGGUGUGUGCCUCUGACUCUGUUUACCGUUGGAGACCAGAGGGGCUGCCCUUCCACGCCUGGUCCUGCCUGCAUUCCCUGCUGUCCUCCCUGUGUUCACGAGCGCGCUCCGUGCCAGCAGCUCUUCCAGGUGUUGGGGAUCCCACAGCAGACAGACACAGUGGCCUGCUUUAUGGAGCGGACAGUCCGGUGGCAGGAAGAACAGGCAGGCGAGGUAAAUGCUGAAAACAUAAAGCAGAGGAGCCAGUGACGCACGCUGCAGGUGAGCAGGGGCGGCAGUGCCGGGUCUUAAGAGGGUGGCAGGAGUUGAACUCGCCGAUGUAAGUUCUGGGAAGGCUCCCGCAUUGGGUGGUGUGGAGUGCAGCCCUGAGGAGGGGUGGUGGUGAGCCGUGAGCGGCAGGCGUGUCCGCAGGGCGGUGUUUCAGGCCAGAGGCGCGGCACGUGUGACCUCCCUGACGUGAGACACGUGGUCCCGUGUCUCCAGCCGCUCCUGUCGUCAGUGCACGUGCCUUAGGCCUCUGUCCCCUCUGCCAGCUUUGCUUUCCACACGGGCUCGUCCCCCCGUGCAGUCGUCGGUCUCUUCCCUCUCCAGAUCCUGAAGCGUCGCGUGGUUUGUACCCAUGCUGUUGUGCUUAGGUUAGGCGUCAUCUGGUUCAGGUGUGUGUUUGUGUGUCUCACGUACCCCGUGGAGGGCCGGGCAGAGUGUUUUGAAGGAAACAGCAGAGGGCAAGGGCUGGCACUGCAGGGGCCUGGAGUGUCACCGACGUUGAGUCACGUGGCACAGAAUGACGUGUGUGCAGGACGGGGACCCACCAUGACACAAGCACCCAACACUGCAUUUCUCAGAACGAAGCCCAGGAUUGGCGGCGUCUAACCAUAAUUAGUGCCUUCAUGGGUUCCAGGAACACGUCCCGAGGUCCAGGAUCGUCCCCUGGGCAGCUCUCGGUUCCAUUAUCAUCUGGCAAGCCUUAAACCAUGGCUUGAAACUGAAUCCAGAGAAUUUCACCCCAGAAGCAAUGUUCAGCUGGCAGUAAUUUUCCAAAGCAACCUUUUGAAUGAAAGCUGAAAGACUUUUGAAUACGGAAAGUUUUAUUAUAGCAGGAUGCCAUUAGGGUGUGUUUCUCCAGUUUAAAUAAUGCCACUUACUCUUCUGAUAUAUUGGUAUGCAGCUGUCUCUGUACACACAGAUACACACGAGUGUGCACACACACUCAUUUAUGCUGUAUGUUUUUGUGUGUGUGUGUAUGGUCUCUUCAGUGAUAUAUAGGGAAUUAGUUUGGAACACCUAGAUAUGACUAACAUAUUAGUAUAUGAAGGUAGGUGGCAAUUAGACUAAGCCCAGCCCUUGGGCUGCACUGUUACUGCACUAUCAAACCAGCUAAGUUGCCACGACAAAACCUUAGACGUGUUUCCAAUGGUCCUGUUUUAUUCUUAACAAAAGGGAAAUUGAGGUUUCAGAAACAGCAUCAUUUUAGUCUGUUAACAGACAGGUGUUGAUGGCUGAAUUCUUCGCCUGGACUUUGGGUCUCUUCAGACUGGUGUGGGAAGGACAGGUAGGGCCAUCCUGUGGGCUCAGCCCCCAUCAGGGGAGCUGCUUUCCCAGCUGUGAGGGGCCAGCCGAGCUUUCGGGAGUCUGUGUGGAGAGCACUGAGCUGUGCUUGAGCAGCAGACAUUUUCCAUGGUGGUUUCUGGGUCAUGCAGGGGACCCUGCACAUGCCCGAGUUCUUAGAGCACCCAUCACUCCCUCAUCCUGGCUUCAGUCCCUCUCUAGACACCCUUAAACUGUGUCUCCAGGCCCUCCCUGCAGCGCAGGGCUCUCUGGUCUCCCACUGCCUCCAUCUACUCCUUCACCAACAUUUCUUUGCAUCUCUGCUGUGCACUGGAGUGGCAGUCUCUGCUCCCAGAGAUGCAUAGGCUGCAGUGGCAGCAUCCUAUAGCAGCCACGGGGGUCGGGGCCAAGGGAAGCUCCCAGGCCUGGGUGGGGCUUCCUGGGGGUUGCAGGGUUGGCUGGUGAGGACGGUUGGGGGGGUGGCCACUUCCCCAGAAGUGCUGGGGGUGGCACUGGGUGAGAGCCAUCUGUGCAUGGUGUCCAAGGUUUUACCGUGCGAGACAGGGACAAGGUAAGGAGGGUAGUGACAAGAUGUUGGCUUCUGAGUAAUGACUCUCUCAGCAUCUGGAGGGUGCUUUCCAGGGAAGAGGGAAGCCAGAGGCUAGGAUACCGGUUGCAGACAAGUGCUUCUCGUGCAUGGUGGGGCUGCCUUCAAACCCAGACGCCCUGGCUCCAGAGGGGCCGGUGGUCACUUCUACCCCGGCUGCCUCCUUUUGCAGGGUCCCAAGUGAAGGCUCAGGGGACUCCCCUCAUUGCCUCAGCUCCUGCAUCUGUAAACCUGGGAGAAUUGAGACAUGGUACUCACCCCAUGAGAUUAGAGGAAUAAAUACUGUAUCUGAUGUCA